CCUACGGGAGGCAGCAGUGGGGAAUAUUGGGCAAUGGGCGCAAGCCUGACCCAGCAACGCCGCGUGAAGGAAGAAGGCUUUCGGGUUGUAAACUUCUUUUAAGAGGGAAGAGCAGAAGACGGUACCUCUUGAAUAAGCCACGGCUAACUACGUGCCAGCAGCCGCGGUAAUACGUAGGUGGCAAGCGUUAUCCGGAUUUACUGGGUGGAAAGGGCGUGUAGCCGGGGUGACAAGUCAGAUGUGAAAUCCCGGGGCUCAACCCCGGACCUGCGUUUGAAACUGUUGGUCUGGAGGGUCGGAGGGGCAGGCGGAAUUCCUGGUGUAGCGGUGAAAUGCGUAGAUAUUAGGAGGAACACCAGUGGCGAAGGCGGACUGCUGGACUGCAACUGACGGUGAGGCGCGAAAGCGUGGGGAGCAAACAGGAUUAGAUACCCGAGUAGUC
RNAcentral lists this ribosomal RNA (442 nucleotides) under uncultured bacterium. Its description in RNAcentral is "partial 16S ribosomal RNA". It matches the Rfam family "Bacterial small subunit ribosomal RNA", at positions 338 to 795 of the family's 1533-position model. The record is from RNAcentral.